Long non-coding RNA from Myotis daubentonii (Daubenton's bat), 774 nucleotides. RefSeq lists it as uncharacterized. The record is from RefSeq and is a predicted model, not a curated record. Lineage: Eukaryota; Metazoa; Chordata; Mammalia; Chiroptera; Vespertilionidae.
AUGAGGAGUUGGGGUUGGGCCGGUCUCAUAGAUGGCGCGGAGGCGCGGCCAAAUGUGCUCGUGUGCCCUCUGGAGCCCUCUCAAAGAAAGAGAUAGUUCUUGCAGCAAGAAAGUCAGCUUUAAGUUACAGCGCUCUGCUUUCUUGCCUUUCUACCAGUUCCCUUUGUGGCAGAGCAGCAACCAGGCCUCUUUCAAGGGAGUGUGCUAGAAGGGGAUAUUAGCCCCUCCUUUGCUAGCAGCAACAGGUACCAAACCCUUUCAGUACAUUUGAUCAGCUUCAUUCUUGCCCACCUUUACAGAUUCUAAGGCCCAUUGUCUACCUUUAACCAGCAAGCCAAAUGACACUGGCCUGUAAUAUUUAAUUCAGCACAGGCAGGGGGAAGGGCCCAUGAAAUCUCUGCCCUGAGGAACUGUGAGCCCCACCCUUAAAUGUCCCAAUCAGACUAGAAAAGCCACAAAUACCUUUUAAAUCUACCCCAGAAUUCCAAAAUCCCAACCCAGCACAGAAUAUCACAUAGCAAAUCAAAGUUCCCAGCAAACAAACAGACAGAGAUACAUACAAACAUCAAAUAAACAUUUACAUUUACACCCUUUCAGUGAACAAGUACUUUUACAGUCUUGGGAUCUUGAGCAGAUAACAGGAACACCGCCCAAGUCCCCUGAUGGGGGCCUGACAGGAACAGAUGUGGGGGCCUCCCUUUCCCACAUCCCAGGACAGGAUUCUUGACCUAUGUCUCAUCCAGAUAGAAACGGUACUCAUCACAAACAAACAAA